AUUGAACGCUGGCGGCAUGCCUUACACAUGCAAGUCGAACGGCAGCACGGACUUCGGUCUGGUGGCGAGUGGCGAACGGGUGAGUAAUGUAUCGGAACGUACCUUUCAGUGGGGGAUAACGUAGCGAAAGUUACGCUAAUACCGCAUAUUCUGUGAGUAGGAAAGCAGGGGAUCGAAAGACCUUGCGCUGAUUGAGCGGCCGAUAUCAGAUUAGCUAGUUGGUGGGGUAAAGGCCUACCAAGGCGACGAUCUGUAGCGGGUCUGAGAGGAUGAUCCGCCACACUGGAACUGAGACACGGUCCAGACUCCUACGGGAGGCAGCAGUGGGGAAUUUUGGACAAUGGGGGCAACCCUGAUCCAGCCAUGCCGCGUGAGUGAAGAAGGCCUUCGGGUUGUAAAGCUCUUUCGGCCGGGAAGAAAUCGCAUAGGCUAAUACCCUGUGUGGAUGACGGUACCGGAAGAAGAAGCACCGGCUAACUACGUG
RNAcentral lists this ribosomal RNA (484 nucleotides) under uncultured bacterium. RNAcentral describes it as "partial 16S ribosomal RNA". It matches the Rfam family "Bacterial small subunit ribosomal RNA", at positions 30 to 507 of the family's 1533-position model. The record is from RNAcentral.